This is a long non-coding RNA of Saccostrea cuccullata (small rock oyster), 1249 nucleotides long. RefSeq lists it as uncharacterized. Lineage: Eukaryota; Metazoa; Mollusca; Bivalvia; Ostreida; Ostreidae. The transcript has 3 exons. The record is from RefSeq and is a predicted model, not a curated record.
CAGGAAUAUACAUACAGAUCAAACUGUUCAUCUGUCUGUGGACAUUGUAAAAAUGGUACUUCAUGUUCAAAGACCAAUGGAAUCUGUAAACAGGGGUGUGAGCUCGGAUGGGAGGGCCCCCUCUGUCUGAACGUUACGUCGUCAGCUGUUGAGAGUGUGUUACAAGAAGAAUUAAACUUUUGGAAGACGCUAUUUGUCAUCGUUUCCAGUAUCUCGGCGUUUCUUGCUGUAACUCUUAUAAUAGUAUGCUCAAGAUUUUUUCACACCAGAAGGAAGAGACGUGUUCAAUAUAUAAACAGAAAGCCCCUAUCUAUUGUAGGAAAUGUACAUGAUUAUGAUCGAAUAACUGCGACAGAUAAUAGAUAUACUUAUAACAAUUUUGAUUCCACAUUACAAAACUACAGGCAUGCAUAUAACAGUGGUAAUUCAACAUUAAGAAGCAACAGAAAUACCUAUGAUCAAGUGGAUUCCACACUAGAAGAUCCGGACUAUGUGGAAAUUCAUUUAUAAAAUGAACACUUGGACAAAAGUUAGGGAGAGAGAGAGAGUGUGUGUUUGUGUUGAUUAUGAUAAUGAUGGCGAAAAUGAUUAUGGUAAUGCUGUAGAGUGUCUUCCUUCACUUUAUCAGAAACAAGCCGUUGUUGGAAACAAUGUUUCUCUAGCGGCAUUGUUUUCUAUUAGAAAUGUCUAUAACAUUUAGGACAAAAAUACUUAUAAUGCAUUGUUCAAUGUACACCUAGGCGUAUGGCUUCUGUAUGAUAAAAUAUAUGGAGAUAGCAAACAGUUUUCAAGUUUAAAGUCCAUUAAACGAUGCAAAAUAGGAGCAGAGUAAACACGGACCUCUAAAAUAUCAGAUGUGGGAUCAGGUGCAGUGAAGGAGUGGGCAUUUCCUAUCGAUCAAUUACAACCACCGCGUGCUCCUUGUCAUGGUUGGGAACUAACAGAGAAAUAUGUCGAUAAUGCAGUGUUAUAAAAAUGUUUUAACAGUUAGUAUAAAAAAAGUCAGACAGCAGAUAAGUUGUAUUGCUGACAAGGUCAUUGUAUCGAUAUCGACAUAGAACUUAAGAAGAAAUUACUUUAAACGAGACUGUUGAUAUUUUUGUUUCAUCAACUUGUCUGUCAAUAAUUAACAUCGUUUUAGAAAUUGUUCAUACAUAGAGCAUUCUAUUGUGUAUCGAAUCAACUGAUAUAUCUAAUCUCCGUUCGGAGAUUAUUGAGGUAUACUGCUGUAUAAGUAAGGAAAUGACGA